This 497-nucleotide ribosomal RNA is filed under the name uncultured bacterium. Its description in RNAcentral is "partial 16S ribosomal RNA". It matches the Rfam family "Bacterial small subunit ribosomal RNA", at positions 28 to 507 of the family's 1533-position model. The record is from RNAcentral.
GAUGAACGCUGGCGGCGUGCCUAAUACAUGCAAGUCGAGCGAACGGACGAGAAGCUUGCUUCUCUGAUGUUAGCGGCGGACGGGUGAGUAACACGUGGAUAACCUACCUAUAAGACUGGGAUAACUUCGGGAAACCGGAGCUAAUACCGGCUUAUAUUUUGAACCGCAUGGUUCAAAAGUGAAAGACGGUCUUGCUGUCACUUAUAGAUGGUUCCGCGCUGCAUUAGCUAGUUGGUAAGGUAACGGCUUACCAAGGCAACGAUGCAUAGCCGACCUGAGAGGGUGACCGGCCACACUGGAACUGAGACACGGUCCAGACUCCUACGGGAGGCAGCAGUAGGGAAUCUUCCGCAAUGGGCGAAAGCCUGACGGAGCAACGCCGCGUGAGUGAUGAAGGUCUUCGGAUCGUAAAACUCUGUUAUUAGGGAAGAACAUAGGUGUAAGUAACUGUGCACAUCUUGACGGUACCUAAUCAGAAAGCCACGGCUAACUACGUG